Long non-coding RNA from Eriocheir sinensis (Chinese mitten crab), 583 nucleotides. RefSeq lists it as uncharacterized. The transcript has 3 exons. NCBI's taxonomy places the organism in Eukaryota, Metazoa, Arthropoda, Malacostraca, Decapoda, Varunidae. The record is from RefSeq and is a predicted model, not a curated record.
UCUGUGGGACCCAAGCUGCCGUGGAAGAAGGGUGUCUGUGUUCUUCUCUCCGUCUGUCUCCGUGUGCGAGUCUGCGUUCCUUUCUCCGUCUGUCUCCGUGUGUGAGUCCGCGUUCCUUUCUCAGUCUGUCUCCGUGUGUGAGUCUGCGUUCAUCUGUCUUCAUGUGUGGGUCUGCGUUCCUCUCUCCGUCUGUCUCCGUGUGUGUUCUCAAGAUGUGGUCAUUAAGGGCGUCUUCUGCUGAUGGGUACUCGCUUGGUGGCUGUGUUGCUGUCUGCCCACCACAAGCUUUGCAGCUUGGUUGGUGUGGCCAAAGAGACGCUUCUUGCUUGGUGUUCCUGUGGUGCCUCCUGGUGUGCAGUUCAUCUGCUGCUGCUGCUCCUCCUCCUCCUCCUCCUAGCUGCUACUCUGCACCAAUUGCCAGCCAACCUUCUGUUAGACUUGGUGGUCCUACUUUGGGUUCCAAGCUGUGUGUGUUGUAAGAGAAGACUCUGCCUCCCUUAGUUGAAUAUGAAUAUUUGAGUUUUUUUUUUUAAUAAAUUUUUUUCUCUGGUCCAGUAUGGGUUUGUUUACGGCCAGUCUUUGA